RNAcentral lists this non-coding RNA (430 nucleotides) under Pongo abelii (Sumatran orangutan). The record is from RNAcentral. Lineage: Eukaryota; Metazoa; Chordata; Mammalia; Primates; Hominidae.
AGGAAAUGACCUCGUUUUUGAUGGCUGCUGCUAACUUAUGGUGAGAUGCUGGGUCCCUGUCCAAUACCACAUGGACAUCCAAUCAAUUUACCCAGGGACAAGUCCACUCAAGAGCAUCAUUUAGAAGAGGGAAAGGCAUUGGGGUUGUUUUUGGAGUAUGUGCUUAAGGAAAUCUAGAGUAUUCCCACAAGCAUUCUGCUGAGAUGAACAAUCAGAUGCCCUCGUGUGAGAUUUGGAGGGCAGAAGGAAAUGGAGAGCACGUUUCUGCCGCUUCUGUGGUUUCUGUCGCAACCUUCGCGGGACUCAUUGCUGCUGGAGGCAUCAUGAAUAUUCUAGGGCUGCAAUGCCCUGCAAAAAAGCCAUCAGCACUGGCAACUCUGACCCUCUUCUCUGUGGUUAGAUGGGAGCCAGGGCCAAGGGACAUGCAAGG